UUCCGAUUAUUUGUCGAUUAUUUUAAAUAAAUUCUAUUCUUUUCUUUUGUGAUUCUCCCCUAGGUAGCUACUACAAAAUCUUCAGAGCUAAGGGUCAAGUACCAGCACAAAGCUACAAUAUUUUCAUGGAUCUUUUGCUGGAAACAGUUCGCGAUGAAAUUGGUGCAUGCUUGGAAAGCUCAUACGACAAGAUUUCCACAAAAGAAGCACAAAAACGAUUGAAUUUCAAAAACGAAAAGGAAGCUAUCUCUUUUGGUAAGAGACGUAAUUGGUCUUUAGGUCCGGGCAAUGUGUACACAUUUGCCAGCCAAACAAACAAACCAAAAGAACCAGUGCCGUCAGUUGAAUUGGUUGAACAAGCCAUUUUCUAUGCGCGUGAAUUGGAAAUGAUUGUUUAAUUUAGUUUUAUACUUCUAUUUUCCUACUAAAAACCAUCAACUUAUUGAAUGAUAUCAUCAUCGGCAUUAAUAAGCGAAAUAAAGAGCAUUAAUUGAGAAAAAAA
Molecule: long non-coding RNA, 502 nt
Organism: Contarinia nasturtii (swede midge)
Lineage: Eukaryota; Metazoa; Arthropoda; Insecta; Diptera; Cecidomyiidae
Exons: 2
Source: RefSeq, a predicted model, not a curated record